AGGCUGUUCUCAGUGGUGCCCAGUGACAGGACAAGGAGCAGUGCCCAUGAGCUAAAACACAAGUUCCAACUUAACACUAGGAGAACAUUCCAUCCAUUGAGAGCUGCAGAGCACUGGAACAGCUGCCCAGGGAGACUCCUAGAGGGCAAACAUUCAGGAAGGUUAUGGCCACAUGAAUGGGAUAAAUGUUGGCCAUCAUUUGAUGGAUCCUCUUGUAUUAAGCAGACAUGGCCCUGCAAGAGGCCCUCUGAGCAUCAUGGGGACCUCCAGCACAAUCGGGAGCUCUGCUUGUCUCCAAGGCAUUGUGGCUCCUGAGGACCAUCCUCAUCCUCCCUGCUGCUGCCCGAGGAAAAAAAUAACUGCUGCAGCUGGUGCUCUCCUACCCUGACUCCCACGCUCAGCAGAGAGGGAGAAGGUGACUGAAUGUGCCCCACACCCCCAGCACUACCUCAAUUUAUCCUGGUCCCCAGAAAUCGUGUCUGAUGCUGAAAAGCCUCCCUGCACACAGACCUCCCCCUCCCAGGAGGGACACUCCAGCCCCAGGAAGGGACUCGGCACUAAAUGGUUGCAGAGAGCCAUGUCUUUUGGAAAUAAAUUGUCUCCUUUUAGAGAGCUGCUCUCUGCAGUCUCUGGGAAGUGACACAUUGUCACUUAAGAUCAUUAACUAUUUGACUGUGAGACUGCUGCCUCUGCAGCACGCGGCACUGGCAGCGCCUGGCUGUUAAUGAAUAAUAAAUUAACACCAUGACUCUGAGCCCUUCCUUUCAUCAGCCCAGGGUUCCAGAGGCCGGAGGAUCUCAAAGGAUCCUCUACAAGCGGCAGUCAAGGUAAUUACCUUCGACCAGCAGCUCGGUGAUGGGUGAGGAGCCCACAGGGGCUCAGUGGUUGCCAGCAUCCCUGGACAUCAGCUCUGUGAGCACCGGCUGCCCACGGGUUUUCUGCAAUGCCCCUCAGCAAUGAACCAACGUGGGCAGCCCAGAGGAAACACCCUGGGACAUUGCAAAAGGCCUUCUCUCAGCUAGAGCUGGGUUUUCAAUCCUGCUCGUGACCCUCCUCACAUAUUCCCUUGCAGGUGUAAGGAAUUGGGGAUAACUCUGGAAACUGAAACAGGGAUGAGCAGCUCGUUGUGCCAGCAAGACCCCUUCUGUGUGGCAGAACAGUGCCAGAACACCCCAAUUACAAGUCUUGGGACUGUCUCUAAUUAUGUUAAUGUUUAGUUUUGCCCGGGGCAUCUUGGUGCUACAAAGAGUGAGGCUGGGUGAGGCUGCAGGAAUUUGACAGCAGCAGCUGGGGAGGGAGGCAGCUCCUCCCAGCCAGGCAGAGAGCGUCUGCCAGACCCCCAAGAGCAGCAAAUGGACAGGAGCACCAGGAUGCAUCUCCAGCCUGGGUUUUCUUUUGGAAAGCCAGGUGAAGGCAGAUGCCCACAAAAGCUGCCCAUUGUCUUACAGUUUGGAUAUUUUUGUAGAUCAGAACGCCAUUCUCCUUCUCCCCUGAAAUUUGCCCAUUAAUUCCCACACCCAGGGUUGUUGCAGUGGUAUAAUCAUGCAACAUGUUAGGCAAAGCCAGAAUGAGACCAAAGGACAACAUAAAUGCUGGGUCUUUUUUUUUAUUAUCAGAGGUUUCAGGGUUAAUAAGAGGUUUUCAAGGGUCAGGUGUUUAGGAAGUCAUCUGCCAUGGGGAACAUUGUCAGGGAGGGAUGCUUUUUCUCAGCUGAAUCCUGUCACGAACUUAACAGGCAUUAAGAGACCUCAAGGCAAGAUUUCCACGGCUUCUCCUGCAGAGAAAGAAAUCAGAGUAAGAAAUCAUAGAACAUCUGGGCUUUUACUGUUGGUCUGUCCUUCUGCGUCACAGAGGACUGUACUCUAUUCCACAUAUUUAUUUUUAUUAUUGACAUAUAAACACAAGAAAAGUUCUUAAUUUAAAACACUAAAUAGUCUGUAGGAAACAGACUUUGUUUGCUGAGAGAAAGCUUUUUUGCAAAUCACUUAAGAGGAAAAUGGAGAACACUACGUUGCCUCUUUAUAUCUGAAAGAAAGGAGUUCCUAGCAAAAUCUCCAAAAGAAAAAAAAAAAUACCCUUGCUGGUGAGACAACAAACAAACCAAAUAAAAGAACUUUACUUUUCCACCAGCGUCCAAGACUGAUUAGCCAGUUUAAGCUAAGUUAAUUCACCACUUAGAAGGUGAAGAGAUUUAUUCCAUACGUACAGGAACGCAUUGCAGAACGUGCAUUUGUUGGGGUAGGUGACACCAUCAGACCCACAGUGGGGGACGUACUCCAUGGUACACA
Molecule: long non-coding RNA, 2288 nt
Organism: Passer domesticus (house sparrow)
Lineage: Eukaryota; Metazoa; Chordata; Aves; Passeriformes; Passeridae
Exons: 3
Source: RefSeq, a predicted model, not a curated record